CAGGGAUCCAUGGGAAAUGUAGUUCCGAGGCCUGCCUAGAGGAGGGAGCUGGUGCUCAGGCAGGACAGCCACCAGGUUUGAUGCCAACCUGACUUUCCUGGGCAGACAACAACCCCACCAAUGUGUCCUGGAGCCCCACCUCCCCAGAUCCCUGCCCCACCAGCAAAAGAAAGGGACAGGCUUGGAGUAUGGAUCGACCUGCCAACACUCAUGUUCAGCAGGGAAGCAAUUACAGAAGCCAGACCUUCCACCUUCUGCACCCUAUAAUGAUCCUGGGUCCAUGCUCCCAGAGGGAUAAUGAAUAGGAAAGCUUCCAAGUUGGGGGGGGGGUUGGGAUAGGGAGUUCUGGCGGUGGGAAUUGUGUGGGAUUGUACCCCUCUUAUCCUAUGGGCUUGUCAAUAUUUCCAUCUUAUAAAUAAAAAAAGAAAAGAAAAAGAAAGUGUGAGCUGAAGGGCUAGGACCUAGCCUAAUCAAGUUCCCCACUUGCGCCAAGCUCCAGUAAGGGCCAUAUUGGAAAUGAUCUUAACAGCUGUAAUUCACAGGCAUGACUGUGGAGGUGACAGUCCCCAAGCCAGCUUCCUUCUGCAUGCUGGGCACAGCAUUGCUGCUGACAGUCCCAUGGGGAGGGAUGAUUGCACCAGUGCCACAGCUCCAUUUGACAACAGAUGCAGCAGGGCCUCUCACCGGUAAUUCAAAAGAUCUCAUUCGAUGUGGCCAUUGUAAAUCAUUUAUUACCAUUGAGUAGGAAGAAAAAUAUACCAGAUGUUAUGAUGAAAUAUGGGACAUUUUCCUCUUGGGGCCAAUCAUAAUGGCAUAGUUUAAAUCUUCUAAAUGGCUAUCUCAGUGAUUUACCAGAAAAUAAAAAACACACAUCAUCAGCUA
Erinaceus europaeus (western European hedgehog) is the source of this 882-nucleotide long non-coding RNA. RefSeq lists it as uncharacterized. Lineage: Eukaryota; Metazoa; Chordata; Mammalia; Eulipotyphla; Erinaceidae. The transcript is spliced from 2 exons. The record is from RefSeq and is a predicted model, not a curated record.